AACGAGAACGGGAUUAAGUUUACUUAAUUUGUCAGCUAAGUGGCGCACGGGUGAGUAAUGUAUAGUUAACCUGCCCUCGAGAAAGGAAUAACAGUUGGAAACGACUGCUAAUGCCCUAUAUGCCUUUAAGACAUAAGUCUACAAGGGAAAUGCUUUUGUGCUCGAGGAUGGGACUGUAUGGUAUCAGAUAGUUGGUGAGGUAAUGGCUCACCAAGUCAAUGACGCCUAACUGGUUUGAGAGGAUGAUCAGUCACACUGGAACUGAGACACGGUCCAGACUCCUACGGGAGGCAGCAGUGGGGAAUAUUGCACAAUGGAGGAAACUCUGAUGCAGCAACGCCGCGUGGAGGAUGACACUUUUCGGAGCGUAAACUCCUUUUAUAUAGGAAGAUAAUGACGGUACUAUAUGAAUAAGCGCCGGCUAACUCCGUGCCAGCAGCCGCGGUAAUACGGAGGGCGCAAGCGUUACUCGGAAUCACUGGGCGUAAAGAGCGUGUAGGCGGGUUAAUAAGUCAGAAGUGAAAUCCUAUAGCUCAACUAUAGAACUGCUUUUGAAACUGUUAACCUAGAAUAUGGGAGAGGUAGAUGGAAUUUCUGGUGUAGGGGUAAAAUCCGUAGAGAUCAGAAGGAAUACCGAUUGCGA
This 643-nucleotide ribosomal RNA is filed under the name Halarcobacter bivalviorum. Its description in RNAcentral is "bacterial SSU rRNA". It matches the Rfam family "Bacterial small subunit ribosomal RNA", at positions 65 to 718 of the family's 1533-position model. Lineage: Bacteria; Pseudomonadati; Campylobacterota; Epsilonproteobacteria; Campylobacterales; Arcobacteraceae. The record is from RNAcentral.